UACAUGGGGUGCAAACGUUGCUCGGAAUUAUUGGGCGUAAAGCGCACGUAGGCGGUUCGUUAAGUCGGAUGUGAAAGCCCUCGGCUCAACUGAGGAAGUGCACCCGAAACUGGCGAGCUUGAGUACGAAAGAGGAUCGCGGAAUUCCCGGUGUAGAGGUGAAAUUCGUAGAUAUCAGGGAGGAACACCGGUGGGCGAAGGCGGGGUCUCUGGGCCGAUACUGACGCUGGAGGA
RNAcentral lists this ribosomal RNA (233 nucleotides) under uncultured bacterium. RNAcentral describes it as "partial 16S ribosomal RNA". It matches the Rfam family "Bacterial small subunit ribosomal RNA", at positions 524 to 752 of the family's 1533-position model. The record is from RNAcentral.